GUCGAUUUGAUGAGCUCUCCAACAAGCCCGAUGUUCCUGCUGAUGAUUAGUCUACAAAGUAUCUAAUGGGCAAUUCUCCAUGGAGAGAAUGGUCAUUGCUCAUUGAGAGGAUGGUGAAUGGCUUUUGAUUAGAUUUUAGGGAACAGGGAUGCCUCCAAAAUGAUCCCAUUGGCUAGGACUUUGAAGAGGACAAACUCUUGUAAGAACAGGACCUCCACUGUGCCAGCAUCUAAAGGUGCAUUUCCCCUAGUCUUCGGAGAAGAGUUUUUUAUCAUGGAUGUGUACCUUCUGCUUGCAUCUCAAACAUCACUAGAUUCUCUGAGAUGAGAAAACUGAGGUAUGGAGACGCUAAGUGAGAGACCCAGAGCCACAAAGCUAGCAAGCAUCAGAAGCCAGAUCUGAACCUAGGUUUUCCCAACUCCAAGCCCACCAUUCUAUUCGUUCCAGAGGCCAUGCUAUCUCUAUAGAGAAGGAAUGACUAUUUUCAACUCUAUCCUGAGGUUUG
Molecule: long non-coding RNA, 505 nt
Filed under: Monodelphis domestica (gray short-tailed opossum)
Lineage: Eukaryota; Metazoa; Chordata; Mammalia; Didelphimorphia; Didelphidae
Description: lncRNA (ENSMODG00000032442.2)
Source: RNAcentral